RNAcentral lists this unclassified non-coding RNA (352 nucleotides) under soil metagenome. RNAcentral describes it as "partial contains 5.8S ribosomal RNA, internal transcribed spacer 2, and large subunit ribosomal RNA". The stretch from base 1 to 120 matches the Rfam family "5.8S ribosomal RNA", at positions 35 to 154 of the family's 154-position model. The record is from RNAcentral.
GAUGAAGAACGUAGCGAAAUGCGAUAAGUAAUGUGAAUUGCAGAAUUCAGUGAAUCAUCGAAUCUUUGAACGCACAUUGCGCCCGCCAGUAUUCUGGCGGGCACGCCUGUUCGAGCGUCAUUACAACCCUCAGGCCCCCGGGCCUGGCGUUGGGGAUCGGCGGAGCCCCCCGUGGGCACACGCCGUCCCCCAAAUACAGUGGCGGUCCCGCCGCAGCUUCCAUCGCGUAGUAGCUAACACCUCGCGACUGGAGAGCGGCGCGGCCACGCCGUAAAACACCCAACUCUUCUGAAGUUGACCUCGAAUCAGGUAGGAAUACCCGCUGAACUUAAGCAUAUCAAUAAGCGGAGGA